AUUGAACGCUGGCGGCAUGCCUUACACAUGCAAGUCGAACGGCAGCACGGGAGCAAUCCUGGUGGCGAGUGGCGGAACGGGUGAGUAAUGUAUCGGAACGUGCCCAGUAGUGGGGGAUAGCCCGGCGAAAGCCGGAUUAAUACCGCAUACGACCUGAGGGUGAAAGCGGGGGAUCGCAAGACCUCGCGCUAUUGGAGCGGCCGAUAUCAGAUUAGCUAGUUGGUGGGGUAAAGGCCUACCAAGGCUACGAUCUGUAGUUGGUCUGAGAGGACGACCAGCCACACUGGGACUGAGACACGGCCCAGACUCCUACGGGAGGCAGCAGUGGGGAAUUUUGGACAAUGGGCGCAAGCCUGAUCCAGCAAUGCCGCGUGCAGGAAGAAGGCCUUCGGGUUGUAAACUGCUUUUGUCAGGGAAGAAAUCUUCUGGGCUAAUACCCCGGGAGGAUGACGGUACCUGAAGAAUAAGCACCGGCUAACUACGUG
This 485-nucleotide ribosomal RNA is filed under the name uncultured bacterium. Its description in RNAcentral is "bacterial SSU rRNA". It matches the Rfam family "Bacterial small subunit ribosomal RNA", at positions 30 to 507 of the family's 1533-position model. The record is from RNAcentral.